RNAcentral lists this transfer RNA (74 nucleotides) under Bos taurus (domestic cattle). It matches the Rfam family "tRNA". From Rfam's summary of the family: Transfer RNA (tRNA) molecules are approximately 80 nucleotides in length. Their secondary structure includes four short double-helical elements and three loops (D, anti-codon, and T loops). Further hydrogen bonds mediate the characteristic L-shaped molecular structure. tRNAs have two regions of fundamental functional importance: the anti-codon, which is responsible for specific mRNA codon recognition, and the 3' end, to which the tRNAs corresponding amino acid is attached (by aminoacyl-tRNA synthetases). tRNAs cope with the degeneracy of the genetic code in two manners: having more than one tRNA (with a specific anti-codon) for a particular amino acid; and 'wobble' base-pairing, i.e. permitting non-standard base-pairing at the 3rd anti-codon position. The record is from Rfam by way of RNAcentral. RNAcentral also lists the same sequence under 5 other names. Lineage: Eukaryota; Metazoa; Chordata; Mammalia; Artiodactyla; Bovidae.
UCCCUGGUGGUCUAGUGGGCUAAGACUCUGCACCUGCAAUGCAGGAGACUUGGGUUUGAUCCCUGUUCAGGAAA